This 274-nucleotide ribosomal RNA is filed under the name uncultured bacterium. RNAcentral describes it as "partial 16S ribosomal RNA". It matches the Rfam family "Bacterial small subunit ribosomal RNA", at positions 523 to 796 of the family's 1533-position model. The record is from RNAcentral.
AUACAGAGGGUGCAAACGUUGUUCGGAAUCACUGGGCGUAAAGCGCGCGCAGGCGGGCUGAUAAGUUGGAUGUGAAAGCCUACGGCUCAACCGUAGAACUGCAUCCAAAACUGUCAGUCUAGAGUGUGGGAGAGGAAGAUGGAAUUAGUUGUGUAGGGGUAAAAUCCGUAGAGAUAACUAGGAAUACCAAAAGCGAAGGCAAUCUUCUGGAACACUACUGACGCUGAGGCGCGAAGGCGUGGGGAGCAAACAGGAUUAGAAACCCUGGUAGUCC